CGGCCGGCUGCUAGACUGCAAGUCGAACGGAGAAUUAGCAAUAGUUCUUAGUGGCGAAUGGGUGAGUAACGCGUUGGUGACCUGCCCCAAAGUGAGGGAUAACAACUCGAAAGGGUUGCUAAUACCCCAUGUAGUUUUCGGAACUAGAAACCGAUUUCCAAAGGAGCAAUCCGCUUUGGGAGGGGCCUGCGUCCCAUCAGCUAGUUGGUAGGGUAAUGGCCUACCAAGGCGAUGACGGGUAGGGGGCCUGAGAGGGUGGCCCCCCACAUUGGCACUGAAACACGGGCCAAACACCUACGGGUGGCAGCAGUCGGGAAUAUUGGUCAAUGGACGAAAGUCUGAACCAGCAACGCCGCGUGUGCGAUGAAGGUCUUUGGAUCGUAAAGCACUUUUCAGGGAGAUGAGGAAGGACAGUAUCCCUGGAAUAAGGAUCGGCUAACUACGUGCCAGCAGCCGCGGUAAAACGUAGGAUCCGAGCGUUAUCCGAAUUUACUGGGCGUAAAGCGCGUGCAGGCGGUUUGGUAAGUUGGAUGUGAAAGCUCCUGGCUCAACUGGGAGAGGUCGUUCAAAACUGCCAGACUAGAGAAUGGUAGAGGGAGGUGGAAUUCCGGGUGUAGUGGUGAAAUGCGUAGAUAUCCGGAGGAACACCAGUGGCGAAGGCGGCCUCCUGGACCAUUCCUGACGCUCAGACGCGAAGGCUAGGGUAGCGAACGGGAUUAGAAACCCCGGUAGUCCUAGCAGUAAACGAUGUAGACUUGGCGUCGGUGGGGUAAAAGCCAUCGGUGCCG
Molecule: ribosomal RNA, 788 nt
Filed under: uncultured bacterium
Lineage: Bacteria
Description: bacterial SSU rRNA
Rfam family: Bacterial small subunit ribosomal RNA
Source: RNAcentral